GGAUAACUUACCCUUUAGGACUGGGAUAACUCUGGGAAACUGGGGAUAAUACUGGAUAUUAGGCUAUGCCUGGAAUGGUUUGCCUUUGAAAUGUUUUUUCGCCUAAGGAUAGGUCUGCGGCUGAUUAGGUCGUUGGUGGGGUAAUGGCCCACCAAGCCCGAUGAUCGGUACGGGUUGUGAGAGCAAGGGCCCGGAGAUGGAACCUGAGACAAGGUUCCAGACCCUACGGGGUGCAGCAGGCGCGAAACCUCCGCAAUGUACGAAAGUGCGACGGGGGGAUCCCAAGUGUUAUGCUUUUUUGUAUGACUUUUCAUUAGUGUAAAAAGCUUUUAGAAUAAGAGCUGGGCAAGACCGGUGCCAGCCGCCGCGGUAACACCGGCAGCUCGAGUGGUAGCUGUUUUUAUUGGGCCUAAAGCGUUCGUAGCCGGUUUGAUAAGUCUUUGGUGAAAGCUUGUAGCUUAACUAUAAGAAUUGCUGGAGAUACUAUUAGACUUGAAGUCGGGAGAGGUUAGAGGUACUACCGGGGUAGGGGUGAAAUCCUAUAAUCCUGGGAGGACCACCUGUGGCGAAGGCGUCUAACUGGAACGAUCUUGACGGUGAGUAACGAAAGCCAGGGGCGCGAACCGGAUUAGAUACCCGGGUAGUCCUGGCCGUAAACGAUGUGGACUUGGUGUUGGAAUGGCUUUGAGUUGUUCCGGUGCCGAAGGGAAGCUGUUAAGUCCACCGCCUGGGAAGUACGGUCGCAA
Molecule: ribosomal RNA, 746 nt
Filed under: uncultured archaeon
Lineage: Archaea
Description: bacterial SSU rRNA
Rfam family: Archaeal small subunit ribosomal RNA
Source: RNAcentral